This 136-nucleotide microRNA precursor is filed under the name Hordeum vulgare. RNAcentral's name for it is "microRNA MIR1122". It matches the Rfam family "MIR1120/MIR1122 microRNA precursor family". The record is from RNAcentral. Lineage: Eukaryota; Viridiplantae; Streptophyta; Magnoliopsida; Poales; Poaceae.
AAAGUACUCCCUCCAUCCCAAAAUUCUUGUCUUAAAUUUGUCUAGAUAUAAAUGUAUCUAGUCACGUUUUAGUAUUUAGAUACAUUCAUUUCUAUACAAACCUACGACAAGAAUUUUGAGACGGAGGGAGUACUUC